GUGAUCAUCGAAUCUUUGAACGCACAUUGCGCCCCCUGGUAUUCCGGGGGGCAUGCCUGUUCGAGCGUCAUUAACACCCCUCAAGCCCGGCUUGCAGUUGGGCGUCGUCUCCCCAUCAUCCGGGUGGGACGUGCCUGAAAAACAGUGACGGCGGCGUUCGGUCCCCAGCGUAUUACGAUCUCUCGCAUCAUCGCUUCCGGGUCGGACGUGUGCCGGUCAAAACCCCUUUAAAUUUUCAAAAGGUUGACCUCGGAUCAGGUAGGAAUACCCGCUGAACUUAAGCAUAUCAAUAAGCGGAGGAAAAGAAACCAACAGGGAUUGCCUCAGUAACGGCGAGUGAAGCGGCAACAGCUCAAAUUUGAAAUCUGGCCUCCUUCGGGGUCCGAGUUGUAAUUUGUAGAGGAUGCUUCGGGUGCGGCGGCGGUCUAAGUUCCUUGGAACAGGACGUCAUGGAGGGUGAGAAUCCCGUGUGGGACCGAUCGCCAACCCCAGGUGAAGCGCCUUCGACGAGUCGAGUUGUUUGGGAAUGCAGCUCAAAAUGGGUGGUAAAUUUCAUCUAAAGCUAAAUACCGGCCAGAGACCGAUAGCGCACAAGUAGAGUGAUCGAAAGAUGAAAAGCACUUUGGAAAGAGAGUUAAAAAGCAUGUGAAAUUGUUGAAAGGGAAGCGCUUGCAACCAGACUUGCUCCCGGGUGUUCAACCGGCGUUUUCGCCGGUGCACUCGCCCGGGAUCAGGCCAGCAUCGGUUCGGGCGGNCGGGUAAAGGCCUCUGGAAUGUGGCUCCCCUCGGGGAGUGUUAUAGCCAGAGGUGCAAUGCGGCCUGCCGGGACCGAGGAACGCGCUUCGACUCGGAUGCUGGCGUAAUGGUUGUAAGCGACCCGU
This 881-nucleotide ribosomal RNA is filed under the name Mycocalicium sp. Tuovila 09-131 (TUR). RNAcentral describes it as "eukaryotic LSU rRNA". The stretch from base 245 to 881 matches the Rfam family "Eukaryotic large subunit ribosomal RNA", at positions 1 to 652 of the family's 3401-position model. The record is from RNAcentral. Lineage: Eukaryota; Fungi; Ascomycota; Eurotiomycetes; Mycocaliciales; Mycocaliciaceae.